AGUGUAGUGAUACAUUGAGCUAACAGAUACUAAUUGCCCGAGAGGCUUAACUAUACAACGCUCAAG
RNAcentral lists this ribosomal RNA (66 nucleotides) under Haemophilus influenzae. RNAcentral's name for it is "partial 23S ribosomal RNA". Lineage: Bacteria; Pseudomonadati; Pseudomonadota; Gammaproteobacteria; Pasteurellales; Pasteurellaceae. The record is from RNAcentral.